AGGUAUCAUACAUAGGUUGGGAAGGUUAAGAUACCUCAGUUGCCCAAGCUUCACAAUGCUAUCAGGAAGAUACACCAAAUUUAUACAUCCACGAAUAUCAAGGUGCUUGAGUUGAUGCAACGAUUCAAACAAAGCCACAUCUUCAGACACUACAGAUAAGAGUCCGCAGACUAGAAAAAGGCAAGUCCCGGAGCAGACGGAAGCAGAUGUUGGGAGGGCCGAGUCUGUGACAACGGCUGGAGUUUGGGAAGAGGAUGCGACGGCCGUGACGGCUUUGGACGGCUUACUCCCGGAGGCACAGCUUGCAGCGGCCGGAUGGCAUGCAACAACCGUGAGAGGAGAGGCAGAAGGAGAGGAAAUCGUGGGUGCUCGCAGUUUGGAUAUGGGCCUAAUCUCCAUGGCCUAUUUUACUUAUUUGUCUUUAAUUAGUGUUAAGUAUGGCUAAUCCUUUAGGAUUCAGGCAAAAAAAGUUUUGGGAAAGCACAGAAGCACUCGCCUUAAUUUUCAUGUGUUGGCUUUGCCCCAAGAUCGAUCACAUGAAA
Molecule: long non-coding RNA, 542 nt
Organism: Brachypodium distachyon (stiff brome)
Lineage: Eukaryota; Viridiplantae; Streptophyta; Magnoliopsida; Poales; Poaceae
Exons: 3
Source: RefSeq, a predicted model, not a curated record